Molecule: microRNA precursor, 114 nt
Organism: Medicago truncatula (barrel medic)
Lineage: Eukaryota; Viridiplantae; Streptophyta; Magnoliopsida; Fabales; Fabaceae
Rfam family: MIR2593 microRNA precursor family
Source: Rfam
UUAUAAGAAAAAUCUACUUCUUAGAUUCAUUCAAUAAAUGAUGUAUGUGGUCAAUAUUAUAGACUACAUACUUCAUUUAUUGAAUGAAUCUAAAAAUUAGAUUUUUGCUUAUAA